Molecule: ribosomal RNA, 449 nt
Filed under: uncultured bacterium
Lineage: Bacteria
Description: partial 16S ribosomal RNA
Rfam family: Bacterial small subunit ribosomal RNA
Source: RNAcentral
CCUACGGGGGGCUGCAGUGGGGAAUAUUGGACAAUGGGCGCAAGCCUGAUCCAGCAAUACCGCGUGUGUGAAGAAGGCCUUAGGGUUGUAAAGCACUUUCAAUGGGGAGGAAAACCUACCGGUCAAUACCCGGUAGCUUGACAUUACCUGUAGAAGAAGCACCGGCUAACUCCGUGCCAGCAGCCGCGGUAAUACGGAGCGUGCAAGCGUUAAUCGGAGUGACUGGGGGUAGUUCGUUAAGUCGCGUGUCAAAGCCCCGGGCUUAACCUGGGAACUGCAUUUGGAACUGGCGGACUAGAUGUGAGUAGAGGGGAGUGGAAUUUCAGGUGUAGCGGUGAAAUGCGUAGAUAUCUGAAGGAACACCAGUGGCGAAGGCGACUCCCUGGACUCAAACUGACGCUGAGGUACGAAAGCGUGGGUAGCAAACAGGAUUAGAUACCCGUGUAGUC